UAGUCCACGCCGUAAACGAUGCGCACUAGGUCUCAGAGCUCUGACGGGUUUGGGGCCGAAGUAAAAGCGUUAAGUGCGCCGCCUGGGGAGUACGGCCGCAAGGCUAAAACUCAAAGGAAUUGACGGGGGCUCACACAAGCGGUGGAGCAUGUGGAUUAAUUCGAAGCAACGCGAAGAACCUUACCUGGGUUUGACAUGCUAGGAUGCAGCGGUGAAAGCCGUCUAUGCUACCUUCGGGUGAAACUAGCACAGGUGCUGCAUGGCUGUCGUCAGCUCGUGCUGUGAAGUGUCGGGUUAAGUCCCUUAACGAGCGAAACCCCUGUCGUUAGUUGCCAGCGGGUCAUGCCGGGGACUCUAGCGAGACUGCCGACGUCGAGUCGGAGACAAUAAUGAAGGUGGGGGACGACGUCAAGUCAUCAUGGCCUUUAUGCCCAGGGGUGUCGCACGUGCUACAAUGGGCGGCUAC
This 466-nucleotide ribosomal RNA is filed under the name uncultured bacterium. RNAcentral describes it as "bacterial SSU rRNA". It matches the Rfam family "Bacterial small subunit ribosomal RNA", at positions 791 to 1240 of the family's 1533-position model. The record is from RNAcentral.